UGCUUACAUGCAUUAGUCUAAGAAUGCUUAGAUUGCCUUUAUUUCUUCAAUUAUUUGAAAAGUUAUUUCUCAAGCUAAGAAGAAAUGAGACGAGAAUGUUUUCAUCAUAAGUCAAAUUCUAUAAUGUCAUGUUGAUAACUUCAGUGUUUGCUGGCCAUUUAAAAGGUAACUAAUGGCAUGGUUUAUUGACACCAUUAACUCCAUGUACUUCAGGAAUGUUACUAUUUUGGGGGGACAAAGGUAUUUCAGACCUGAAUUACUAUUGUUAUACCCCAUGCAAACUUUUAAUUGAUUUUUCUAGGCCCACACUGAGCUUCUACGUUGGUAGCAAGAUUUUUGUGGGUGUCUGGACACAGGAUUGCACCAUCUCACCUAAAAUACGACUUCUCAAAAAUUGUAGACCAGUGUUGUCGGCGGAGCAUGAUGCUGGGGAAGGCACUCUGCUGAAACCUUGUCCGUAAGCGCAUCCUCUACGCUGGGACAGAGACUUUCCCAGAUGAGAAGGCGGAAAAAGAAGAUUCGGGAGGACAUAUGUAAUGAGUUAAUGUGUGCCUCCAAGAGUGACAAGACAAAGCUCAGCGCAUGGAGGAUUGCAUUGUCAGAGAGCCUACACAAUGACCAUGAGGACAGAAGAGCAUACGGGGAACACGAGUGUGACACGCGGGAUGAGAUGGUAUGGGUGAUGAGGGAGCAAUCAGACAUGUUGAGGUUCAAGAAAGGCAGCUGGACGCUAGAGUCCCGCUGCAGCAUAUGGUGAACCUGCUGCCAUCAUCACCAAGUUCCACAUCCUUCUGCGCUUGUUUUUCCCGUCCCUCCCCCGCCCCCCCAGUGUUAUCAGCCCUUUCCCCCCCAGGUUAUCUUCCUUUUCUUUGCUGUCUCUGUGUUUGUGAGCAUAAUAAAAAUGAAUGGAUUGAGGAGAAAAGGUUCUUUAUUCAUUCAGCACACAGCAGCUAGCAGGGCUGUAGUUUACAGGGGAGUACAUGCAAUGAAGGGGACAGCUAGGUAAGGAACAACACACAAGUGUCAUGUUACUGUGGGUCAUUGAUCAAACUAGUUUUCAAAGCCUCACCGAGAUGCAGCACACCUCAGUGUGCUCUUAUUGACCUGGUGUCUGGCUGCUCAAAAUUGGCUGCCAUGCAAUCUGCCACCCCCACCC
Trachemys scripta elegans is the source of this 1156-nucleotide long non-coding RNA. RefSeq lists it as uncharacterized. The transcript has 3 exons. Lineage: Eukaryota; Metazoa; Chordata; Testudines; Emydidae. The record is from RefSeq and is a predicted model, not a curated record.